AGAGUUUGAUCCUGGCUCAGAACGAACGUUAGCGGCGCGCUUAACACAUGCAAGUCGAACGAGAAAGCUCCUUCGGGAGUGAGUAAAGUGGCGCACGGGUGAGUAACACGUGGGUAAUCUACCCUUUGGCAGGGGACAACAUUCCGAAAGGAUUGCUAAUACCGUAUACGUCCGCUUCGGCGGGGAAAGGUGGCCUCUCCUUGGAAGCUAUCGCCAGAGGAUGAGCCCGCGGCCCAUCAGUUUGUUGGUAGGGUAAUGGCCUACCAAGGCGACGACGGGUAGCUGAUCUGAGAGGAUGAUCAGUCACACUGGAACUGAGACACGGUCCAGACUCCUACGGGAGGCAGCAGUGGGGAAUAUUGCGCAAUGGGCGAAAGCCUGACGCAGCGACGCCGCGUGGGUGAUGAAGGUUUUCGGAUCGUAAAGCCCUGUGGGAGAGGGAAGAACAUCCGAGGAGAACAAUACCUCCUCGGCUUGACGGUACCUUUCCAGAAAGCACCGGCUAACUCCGUGCCAGCAGCCGCGGUAACACGGAGGGUGCGAACGUUGUUCGGAAUUACUGGGCGUAAAGCGCGCGUAGGCGGUUUAGCAAGUCAGAUGUGGAAGCCCUGGGCUCAACCCGGGAAGUGCAUUUGAAACUGCUUCACUAGAGUAUGGGAGAGGAGAUUGGAAUUCCUGGUGUAGAGGUGAAAUUCGUAGAUAUCAGGAGGAACACCCGUGGCGAAGGCGAUUCUCUGGACCAAUACUGACGCUGAGACGCGAAAGCGUGGGGAGCAAACAGGAUUAGAUACCCUGGUAGUCCACGCCGUAAACGAUGAGAACUAGGUGUAGUGGGUAUUGACCCCUGCUGUGCCGAAGUUAACGCAUUAAGUUCGCCGCCUGGGGAGUACGGCCGCAAGGCUAAAACUCAAAGGAAUUGACGGGGGCCCGCACAAGCGGUGGAGCAUGUGGUUUAAUUCGACGCAACGCGAAGAACCUUACCUGGGUUUGACAUCCUCUGAUCGUCUGGGAAACCAGAUUUUUCCGGCUUUGUCGGAACAGAGUGACAGGUGCUGCAUGGCUGUCGUCAGCUCGUGUCGUGAGAUGUUGGGUUAAGUCCCGCAACGAGCGUAACCCUUGUCUUUAGUUGCCAUUAUUAAGUUAGGCACUCUAAAGAGACUGCCUCGGUUAACGGGGAGGAAGGUGGGGAUGACGUCAAGUCCUCAUGGCCUUUAUAUCCAGGGCUACACACGUGCUACAAUGGGCUGUACAAAGGGUUGCUAUCCCGCGAGGGGGCGCUAAUCCCAAAAAGCAGUUCUCAGUUCGGAUUGAAGUCUGCAACUCGACUUCAUGAAGGUGGAAUCGCUAGUAAUCGUGGAUCAGCAUGCCACGGUGAAUACGUUCCCGGGCCUUGUACACACCGCCCGUCACACCACGAAAGUCGACUGUACCAGAAGUUGCUGGGCUAACCUCUUCGGAGGAGGCAGGUACCUAAGGUACGGCCGGUAAUUGGGGUGAAGUCGUAACAAGGUA
RNAcentral lists this ribosomal RNA (1512 nucleotides) under metagenome. RNAcentral describes it as "bacterial SSU rRNA". It matches the Rfam family "Bacterial small subunit ribosomal RNA". The record is from RNAcentral.